GAUCAAAUGUGGUGUAGUGGUUUGAGCGUUGGACUAUGGCUCUGGAGACCAGGGUUCAAAUCCCUGCCUGGCCA
Non-coding RNA from Phrynosoma platyrhinos (Desert horned lizard), 74 nucleotides. The record is from the annotation of a GenBank genome assembly. Lineage: Eukaryota; Metazoa; Chordata; Lepidosauria; Squamata; Phrynosomatidae.